CGAGCCAUACCUGCCGCCGCGGGACGCCUACCCGCGCCCGCCGCGACCCUACGGACGCCGGGACCCGCGGAGGAUCGUCGACUACCAGGACCUGGACGCGCCGCCCGACGUUGACUUGUUGUAAUUCCCACAGCUGCUGCGGCCACGCACGUCAGGCCGCUGAGCAGCUAUCGGGACCUGGAUGCUCCGAAGGACAUGGACGAGUUCUAGCGCGUGGCGCUGUCUUCGGCACUUGUGAGAGCGCUUUUACUUUCGGACGUGGUGCGCUCGGAGCGGGGCUAAACUUGGAAGAAGAAAGUGGAGCAUCGAGAGCGAGAGUGCGAUGUAAAUGUGUUUGGACGGAUACUCUUGCGAGAUUUGCGCCAAUAAACGUCUACAGAACGGGA
Pollicipes pollicipes is the source of this 386-nucleotide long non-coding RNA. RefSeq lists it as uncharacterized. The transcript is spliced from 3 exons. The record is from RefSeq and is a predicted model, not a curated record. NCBI's taxonomy places the organism in Eukaryota, Metazoa, Arthropoda, Thecostraca, Pollicipedomorpha, Pollicipedidae.